RNAcentral lists this ribosomal RNA (365 nucleotides) under Salmonella enterica subsp. enterica serovar Thompson. RNAcentral's name for it is "bacterial LSU rRNA". It matches the Rfam family "Bacterial large subunit ribosomal RNA", at positions 1 to 393 of the family's 2925-position model. Lineage: Bacteria; Pseudomonadati; Pseudomonadota; Gammaproteobacteria; Enterobacterales; Enterobacteriaceae. RNAcentral also lists the same sequence under 5 other names. The record is from RNAcentral.
GGGUUGUGAGGUUAAGCGACUAAGCGUACACGGUGGAUGCCCUGGCAGUCAGAGGCGAUGAAGGGCGUGCUAAUCUGCGAUAAGCGCCGGUAAGGUGAUAUGAACCGUUAUAACCGGCGAUACCCGAAUGGGGAAACCCAGUGUGACUCGUCACACUAUCAUUAACUGAAUCCAUAGGUUAAUGAGGCGAACCGGGGGAACUGAAACAUCUAAGUACCCCGAGGAAAAGAAAUCAACCGAGAUUCCCCCAGUAGCGGCGAGCGAACGGGGAGGAGCCCAGAGCCUGAAUCAGCAUGUGUGUUAGUGGAAGCGUCUGGAAAGGCGCGCGAUACAGGGUGACAGCCCCGUACACAAAAGCGCAUGUG